RNAcentral lists this ribosomal RNA (388 nucleotides) under Protaspa sp. Its description in RNAcentral is "partial small subunit ribosomal RNA". It matches the Rfam family "Eukaryotic small subunit ribosomal RNA", at positions 582 to 975 of the family's 1831-position model. The record is from RNAcentral. Lineage: Eukaryota; Cercozoa; Thecofilosea; Cryomonadida; Protaspidae.
AUUCCAGCUCCAAGAGCGUAUAUUAAAGUUGUUGCAGUUAAAAAGCUCGUAGUUGGAUUUCUGGUAUAAUGCGCCUGUCCCGGAAAUUUCUGUGUGACGGUGCGCGUUUGCCAUCCUUCUAGAAAACGUUUCUACCAUUUACUUGGCCGGACUCGCGAUCUAGAUCUUUUACUUUGAAAAAAUUAGAGUGUUUAAAGCAGGCAUAGCUUGAAUACAUUAGCAUGGAAUAAUAAUCUAGGACUUCGGUUCUAUUUUGUUGGUUUCUAGAAUUGAAGUAAUGAUUGAUAGGGAUAGUUGGGGGUGCUAGUAUUGGCCGGCCAGAGGUGAAAUUCUUGGAUUCGGUCAAGACUAACUUAUGCGAAAGCAUUCACCAAGGAUGUCUUCAUUA